GAUACACUUCCAAAAAAUUGACUAUUCCGAGUUAAUCAAUAUCUCUAAUAGUGACGAUUGCUUAUAAAAGAGGGGACAUAUUUUAGAACACUUGGUGAUAUACAAACCAUACCAGGCAAAUGUGUGAAAUUAUUAUUAAGAGUGAACCAUCUAACAUCCCCCUUGAGCAAAUUCGGCGGAUUUUGGAGGACAAGUAUGCAGUGGAAUUUUGGGCUGUAAGUGUCGGCUUGACAUUGACAGCUUGCCUAAUUGAGUGCCACGUGUUUUGGGAAGAAAAGUUUUCAAGCCAAAGGUCCAAGGAGAUUAAUCAAAGUCAAGGAAAGAAGAAGGUAGGUGAG
Long non-coding RNA from Beta vulgaris subsp. vulgaris (sugar beet), 338 nucleotides. RefSeq lists it as uncharacterized. The transcript has 3 exons. NCBI's taxonomy places the organism in Eukaryota, Viridiplantae, Streptophyta, Magnoliopsida, Caryophyllales, Amaranthaceae. The record is from RefSeq and is a predicted model, not a curated record.